Long non-coding RNA from Ctenopharyngodon idella (grass carp), 313 nucleotides. RefSeq lists it as uncharacterized. NCBI's taxonomy places the organism in Eukaryota, Metazoa, Chordata, Actinopteri, Cypriniformes, Xenocyprididae. The transcript is spliced from 3 exons. The record is from RefSeq and is a predicted model, not a curated record.
CAAAAUCUGAACUGCGUCUGAACUGGGGUGGCACUGGAGACGGAGACGAAAUGGCAAUCAAUGAAAACACGAGAUCCGCAAAGGCAAAGCAAACUAACUUUAUGUGGCCAUGAUCAGCAAAAGUUUUUCUUCGACUACCUUGUAAAUCGACGCCCACAGGGCACGGUUGCCACCUUGUGGAUAAAUUAAUUACUACAAAAAAAAUUAAAUGCGCAUGUGCGACCUGCACGGUUACAAAAAUCCAACGGUGCGCAUACUCUUCUGAUGACGAAAUUCGCAUCACGCUGACUGUUCGCUGACCCUCGCGUACGUG